This is a long non-coding RNA of Hevea brasiliensis (rubber tree), 549 nucleotides long. RefSeq lists it as uncharacterized. The record is from RefSeq and is a predicted model, not a curated record. Lineage: Eukaryota; Viridiplantae; Streptophyta; Magnoliopsida; Malpighiales; Euphorbiaceae. The transcript has 2 exons.
GAAAACAUGUUUCUAGGUUUGUGAUUUUGGGUCACAAUCUUCGGGUAUGCAUGUUAGCCAGGCGUCUCUCUCAUGUGUUUCCCUAGUUCCCUCUCAUAUUAUCAUUCUAAUGAAAUCAUUAGACCCCAUGGUCGUUUCUUUCUUUUCUUCAAUUCCUGCCAAGCCUCCCUUCUCUCACUAAUCUAGGAAAAAUCCAUCUUGUUCAUGGCAAUUUUAACCAGAGAUCAAUACCCAAAGAAGCCCUCCAUUCAAAGAAAGGAGAAUGAAAAUGCGUGAAUGGAGAAAGGGAGACAAGGCGCCUGACCCAGGGCCUCUGUUCAAGUGAUAGGUGGGAUGGAGGAAGGAAAAGUUAAAUAUCAAAACUAUUGUAAUUACUAAUGAUAUCUAAUAACAGCAAAGGGGAUCUAUUUGUGCAUAUUUGUAAUGAUCUUUGGGCUUAAAACCAAUUGAAUUCCCGUUGCAAUUAAACAAGAGAAAGGUCAAACAUCUAUAAGAAAAUGAUAGUGUUAUGACCAGGUCACGAAGAGUGCAACAUUACAUCAGGUUCAG